AUAGCGUAUAUUAAAGUUGUUGCAGUUAAAAAGCUCGUAGUUGAAUUUUGGACCUGGUUGGUUGGUCUGCCUUUGGUUUGAACUUACCGACUGGGUCUUUCCUUCUGGCGAACUAUUGUGCUAUUCAUUUAGUGCGAUAGGGAACCAGGACUUUUACUUUGAAAAAAUUAGAGUGUUUAAAGCAGGCUUACGCUUGAAUACAUUAGCAUGGAAUAAUAGAAUAGGACUUUGGUUUUAUUUUGUUGGUUUCUAAGACCGAAGUAAUGAUUAAUAGGGAUAGUUGGGGGCAUUAGUAUUUAAUCGUCAGAGGUGAAAUUCUUGGAUUGAUUAAAGACUAACUUCUG
This 344-nucleotide ribosomal RNA is filed under the name uncultured eukaryote. Its description in RNAcentral is "SSU rRNA". It matches the Rfam family "Eukaryotic small subunit ribosomal RNA", at positions 594 to 945 of the family's 1831-position model. The record is from RNAcentral.